CGAAAACUCUUUUGGUCCACUCUCCCUCUUCCUGUCCCUCUCGCUUCCGUUUCUUAAUUUUGGCAAUCACAGAACCGUUGCACAUGACAAUACACAAUCCACAGUUUCACACCGUGAAACCCUAAAUAUGGCUUUCGAACCGGGUUCCGCAGUGGAAGUCAGCAUCGACGGUGGUGCUGGUGCACUCGGCAGGUCAUGGUUUUCCGACAGGUUCCUGGUCCUGUACCCUAACGUGGCGGAGAAAUCAACCGUGAGUUUUCACCAGCUCCGACCACUUCCCCCGCCGGAGACCCGUUGGAUAUUCCACUACGGCAAAAAGGUGGAGGUGUCUUUCGGGGACUCAGGACGAGUUCCUUCUCAAACUGUCAUGUGUUAGAUACUUUGUACCUUUCUAAUUGUUGUCUGAAUGAUGAUGCACGAGUCCUCUAUAUAUCUAAUUCCACCCUUUCCGCUUUGCUAACAGUGUUGUGCUUUCUACUCCAAUUCUGAGUUCUUUUAAUAUCUUUGCUUCUGUUGGUCACCAACUCUCCUCCAAAUGCAGUCAGAUUGACGUGUGGCUUCAAUUCUCCAUUGGGAAAGCUAUCACAGCAUGGCUGCAGGUGCUUGCCAAUGUAAAUAUAUUGGCAUUGUGUGUGCAUGCCAUUCGCAUAUUGCAUCUUGAACUCUCAAAUCCCAUUUCAAUGAAAGCUCAACCUCCUAACUUUGCUAGAUUGGAGCUGUUGAUAGUGAAGCAGCAGGUAUCUGCCACAAUAUCUAACAAGAAAGUCAACACAGUACUGGAGUACUUGCUUCAAAACACUCCAAUGGCCUACAAAGUUGAUAUCAUUCACAAACAACACCUUUUUAAAUGAUAUCCGUUCUUAGUUCUUCAAGUAGAGAAGUUUAAAGAGUAUCCAGUUUUUGUCUAUUUUAUGCUUACCUUUCUCCUUGUCCUAAAUACUCUUUUUGUACAGCAAAUUAUAGCUUGCAACAUUGUAAUUGCCUUGUUUACGAGGUGCUUUGAGACUUCUAAUGAAAGUGGAUGUUUUUAUUUGUUUAAUGGUACCAGGAGGUACGCA
Glycine soja is the source of this 1058-nucleotide long non-coding RNA. RefSeq lists it as uncharacterized. Lineage: Eukaryota; Viridiplantae; Streptophyta; Magnoliopsida; Fabales; Fabaceae. The record is from RefSeq and is a predicted model, not a curated record. The transcript has 2 exons.